This 499-nucleotide ribosomal RNA is filed under the name uncultured bacterium. RNAcentral's name for it is "bacterial SSU rRNA". It matches the Rfam family "Bacterial small subunit ribosomal RNA", at positions 899 to 1397 of the family's 1533-position model. The record is from RNAcentral.
ACUCAAAGGAAUUGACGGGGGCCCGCACAAGCAGUGGAGUAUGUGGUUUAAUUCGACGCAACGCGAAGAACCUUACCAGGGUUUGACAUCUCUCUGAAAGCAGCAGAGAUGCUGUGUUUCCUUCGGGGACAGAGAGACAGGUGGUGCAUGGUUGUCGUCAGCUCGUGUCGUGAGAUGUUGGGUUAAGUCCCGCAACGAGCGCAACCCUUGUUGCCAGUUGCCAUCACGUGAAGGUGGGCACUCUGGCGAGACCGCCGUUGACAAAACGGAGGAAGGUGGGGAUGACGUCAAAUCAUCAUGCCCCUUAUGUCCUGGGCUACACACGUACUACAAUGGCAGCAACAGAGGGCAGCCAAGCCGCGAGGCCGAGCGAAUCCCGAAAGGCUGUCUCAGUUCGGAUUGCAGGCUGCAACUCGCCUGCAUGAAGUCGGAAUUGCUAGUAAUGGCAGGUCAGCAUACUGCCGUGAAUACGUUCCCGGGCCUUGUACACACCGCCCGU